Molecule: ribosomal RNA, 466 nt
Filed under: uncultured bacterium
Lineage: Bacteria
Description: partial 16S ribosomal RNA
Rfam family: Bacterial small subunit ribosomal RNA
Source: RNAcentral
GACGAACGCUGGCGGCGCGCCUAACACAUGCAAGUCGAACGAGCGAGCGAGAGCUUGCUUUCUCGAGCGAGUGGCGAACGGGUGAGUAACGCGUGAGGCACCUUCCUCAAAGAGGGGGACAACAGUUGGAAACGACUGCUACUACCGCAUAAGCCCACGGUUCGGCAUCGACCAGAGGUAAAAGGAGCAAUCCGCUUUGAGUUGGCCUCGCUUCGGAUUAGCUAGUUGGUGAGGUAAUGGCCCACCAAGGCGACGAUCGGUAGCCGGACUGAGAGGUUGAACGGAGACAUUGGGAGGGGGAAGCGGCCCGGAAUACUACGGGAGGCGGGAGAGGGGAAUAUUGCAAAAUGGGGGAAACGAUGAAGGAGCGAGGCCGGGUGAAGGAGGAAGGUGUGCGGAUAGUAAACUACUGUUGUUGGGGAAGAUAAUGACGGUACCCAACAAGGAAGUGACGGCUAACUACGUG